This 102-nucleotide non-coding RNA is filed under the name Heterosigma akashiwo. The record is from RNAcentral. Lineage: Eukaryota; Raphidophyceae; Chattonellales; Chattonellaceae.
CUUCUUCUUCUAUUUUUUUUUCUUCUUCUUCUUUUUUCUACGUGCUGACCUUCUUUGAUGCAGUUUGCGAAAACGCCGCACAGUGUGGUGUUUUUGCGGCGU